CAUCUUUAGCCUAUAGGUCUCACAUUCCGGCCACAACUGCGAGAGCACUUCACACACGGGAUGCUCCGAAUACCACGGGCCUUUAAAGGGAUUUAUUACUAGGUUAAAGAGUAAAACAAAGGACAGGAGUCGAUUAUCCUCAUUCCCCGUUAGUGUCGUUAGCUUCGUCAGUGUCUUAUUCUCAUUGAUGCAUAUUCCAGGUCUGGCCCCUUGAAUUCUUCUUGGAAUUCCACAAGACUUCUUGGGCAAUAUAAGGAGGACAGUUGAAUGCAGGACCUUUUGUACUAACACGGGCCUACAUUUUUAUCUUGGUAUUUUGGUCAAAUGCUGAGGGAUUGAGCAAGAAGUUAAUUAUCCUGAAUAGAAAAACAAAAACAGUAUGGAUUAGUAAUCUAUUACAUAGACUCCCUAAUAUCAGGACAGGGGAGCCAGCCCGCCUUGAAACAGGAAAUCCUGCUUCACACAAAGCCGGAAAUACCAGGAACUGAUUAUUCUGAGCCGGUACAGAUUCAAAACAGCUUUUUUGGCCCUCCUGGAAGGAUGGCUGAGGUAGUUAAUCACCCUUGGAGAAAAGGAAUUCUUGGAGGGAGGAGGGGCCCGCUUCCUAACCUUUGAGGGCUGAGGUCAAAGGAUGUCCCAGCUCUCCAUUUGCUCCCAUGUGACAGAACAUCAGAGGGUCCAGAAGAGCUGGGCACGUGCAGUCAUUGAUAAUUUCCAGGUAGCUGAAACCCAAGAAAUUUAUCAAAGGAAAAAAUGAAAAUAAAAAAGGAAAAAAAAAACAACCCAACAACAACAAGAAAUACAUUACCGGGGGCUGGAGAUUUUGCUGGGUAGUGGAACACUCACUUGACAUGUAUGUCCGCACUCCCAGCUCCUACAAAGAAGAAAAACUAAAUUAAACCUAACCCCCCCCACACACACCCUCUUGUUCAUCUUCUCAAAUAAAGCCAUUUGGUUGUUGUCGUUA
Molecule: long non-coding RNA, 967 nt
Filed under: Mus musculus (house mouse)
Lineage: Eukaryota; Metazoa; Chordata; Mammalia; Rodentia; Muridae
Description: predicted gene, 26885
Source: RNAcentral